Molecule: small RNA, 436 nt
Filed under: Rattus norvegicus (Norway rat)
Lineage: Eukaryota; Metazoa; Chordata; Mammalia; Rodentia; Muridae
Description: uncharacterized LOC108351892
Source: RNAcentral
GUGAGAGGAGGAAGGCCAGAUGGCACAGAUGGACUGGGAGGGGAUCAGGAGCCGGCAGUCAAUGAGCAAUUAAGGCUGAUUGGCAUUUCAGUCAGGAGGCUGUCUAAUGGGAAUGGUGGCGGGGAGGGGAGGGGUGCAGGGAGGGGAGGAGGUGUGGCAGGCAGAGGUGGGGAGUGGCUUGGUGAUAUGGGAGCACACGAAGUAGGAUGCUGUCCCUGACUUCUAUCCCAGUUCUGGAAGCUUCCAAGGCUCACCUGCGUGGCCACAUCAAAGCGCAGCCGCUCCGGGUUGAGAUGGGAGCCCCGCUGUUCGGUGGUUGGUCCGAGCGUCUGCCGAAGUGCCCAGUUCAGCAGAGCUGCACUCGGUCCCCGACUUGUAAGCACUCGGGAGCCAUGGCCUCAUGCAGGAUGAAGCCUCCACAGACCUGAGCCCGGGC